GCGUGAGUGAUGAAGGCCUUAGGGUUGUAAAGCUCUUUCGGCGGGGACGAUGAUGACGGUACCCGCAGAAGAAGCCCCGGCUAACUUCGUGCCAGCAGCCGCGGUAAUACGAAGGGGGCGAGCGUUGUUCGGAAUUACUGGGCGUAAAGGGCGCGCAGGCGGCUCGACAAGUCAGAUGUGAAAGCCCCGGGCUCAACCUGGGAAUUGCAUUUGGGACUGUCGGGCUAGAGUUCGGGAGAGGUGGGUGGAAUUCCCAGUGUAGAGGUGAAAUUCGU
This 275-nucleotide ribosomal RNA is filed under the name uncultured bacterium. Its description in RNAcentral is "partial 16S ribosomal RNA". It matches the Rfam family "Bacterial small subunit ribosomal RNA", at positions 399 to 691 of the family's 1533-position model. The record is from RNAcentral.